UUUCAUGUUUUCUUUUCUUGCAUAAAGUUUCAAUCUUUUGUUGAUUCUCAUGCCCCCAAAGUUUUCAGCUUUAUGUGUUUUAGAGUGAUUUGGUUUCUGGUUAAAGUCUCUAGCUUUUUUUUUCAACGACCACUUUUAAAAACUCAGUUUCCACAGUCUUACUUUUAAUGAUUUUGGAACUUAAGGUCCUAAUUAGGGUUUUACAUCAUGAUUAAUUUUAGGGUUUCGUUUUAAUUAAAUGAUGCAGUUGGAUGGGGGUGUUACCAGAUGGGAUUUGGGAGAAAACCAGAUCCAGAGCCAGGAAGAUGCAGAAGAACAGAUGGUAAGAAAUGGAGAUGCUCAAGAGAAGCUUACCCAGAUUCGAAGUACUGUGAAAAACACAUGCACAGAGGAAGAAACCGUGCCAGAAAAUCUCUUGAUCAGAAUCAGACAACAACAACUCCUUUAACAUCACCAUCUCUCUCAUUCACCAACAACAACAACCCAAGUCCCACCUUGUCUUCUUCUUCUUCCUCUAAUUCCUCUUCUACUACUUAUUCUGCUUCUUCUUCUUCAAUGGAUGCCUACAGUAACAGUAAUAGGUUUGGGCUUGGUGGAAGUAGUAGUAACACUAGAGGUUAUUUCAACAGCCAUUCUCUUGAUUAUCCUUAUCCUUCUACUUCACCCAAACAACAACAACAAACUCUUCAUCAUGCUUCCGCUUUGUCACUUCAUCAAAAUACUAAUUCUACUUCUCAGUUCAAUGUCUUAGCCUCUGCUACUGACCACAAAGACUUCAGGUUCUGUGAUCUUAUCUUUAGUUUCUCUUGUUGAUCUUUUAUGGAAACUUUUAUUGAUGGAUUGUUUUUUGAAUUC
Molecule: small RNA, 855 nt
Filed under: Arabidopsis thaliana (thale cress)
Lineage: Eukaryota; Viridiplantae; Streptophyta; Magnoliopsida; Brassicales; Brassicaceae
Description: ATSL137820
Source: RNAcentral